GAUGAAGAACGUAGCGAAACGCGAUAAGUAAUGUGAAUUGCAGAAUCCAGUGAAUCAUCGAAUCUUUGAACGCACAUUGCGCCCGCCAGCAUUCUGGCGGGCAUGCCUGUUCGAGCGUCAUUUCAACCCUCGACCUCCCCUUGGGGAGGUCGGCGUUGGGGACCGGCAGCAUACCGCCGGCCCUGAAAUGGAGUGGCGGCCCGUCCGCGGCGACCUCUGCGCAGUAAUACAGCUCGCACCGGGACCCCGACGCGGCCACGCCGUAAAACACCCAACUUCUGAACGUUGACCUCGAAUCAGGUAGGACUACCCGCUGAACUUAAGCAUAUCAAUAAGCGGAGGA
RNAcentral lists this unclassified non-coding RNA (343 nucleotides) under soil metagenome. Its description in RNAcentral is "partial contains 5.8S ribosomal RNA, internal transcribed spacer 2, and large subunit ribosomal RNA". The stretch from base 1 to 120 matches the Rfam family "5.8S ribosomal RNA", at positions 35 to 154 of the family's 154-position model. The record is from RNAcentral.